Biomphalaria glabrata is the source of this 519-nucleotide long non-coding RNA. RefSeq lists it as uncharacterized. Lineage: Eukaryota; Metazoa; Mollusca; Gastropoda; Planorbidae. The transcript is spliced from 2 exons. The record is from RefSeq and is a predicted model, not a curated record.
ACCUCAUUCACCAAUCGUAAACAAACACCCCUCAAGUCACGUGACAACCAUCAGUUUAAUCUAGACACCAACAUGGAAUCUAUUGUGUUGGAAAACCACUCUUGCUUGUAAAUUUUACUUUUGUUAACUUGUUAGAAUAUUGCGAUGUUAUAAAUGCAGCAUAUGCAUGUGAAAAUGAUUACAGACACGUAAUUUAAUUACAAUGUUACUGGAGUGAUUAGCUACAAUGGAAAGGUCAUUGAAGGAGAGUGUCAGUGUGCAGGGGGUUGCAAGCCCGCCUGUUGUAAACAUCUUUUUGGUCUUCUGUCUGCUCUAGAAGACUAUAGCAAAAAAGAAAUGUAUGCAGCACCAACAGACAAAAUUCAGACAUGGCAUCAACCUGCACCUAAAGCCUCAGAAAACGAAGGAUAGUUUUAGCUGUGAUAAGACUGGUCUACAAAAUUUUGAUACCAGUGUUUCAAUGUCUGCUUUGGCUGCCUUACCUCAGAACACUCCUAUAUUUUCAGUUCUACAAGCCGA